Molecule: long non-coding RNA, 9057 nt
Filed under: Equus caballus (horse)
Lineage: Eukaryota; Metazoa; Chordata; Mammalia; Perissodactyla; Equidae
Description: lncRNA (ENSECAG00000052444.1)
Source: RNAcentral
GUGAACACAAUGCAAUCUAUACAGAAACUGAAAUAUAAUAAUGUACACCCAAAGUUUACACUAUGUUAUAAGCCAAUAUGACUCAAAGAAAUAAAAAACUAAAAAAAUUUUUUUAAAGCCAGUAUUAUUGAAUUCUGAGAUUGUAACUCUCUUUUUAUUUCCAUAUGAUUUAUAAGACAAAUUCAAAAAAUAAUUACAUAUAUAUGUUAACAGCACACAAUGUAAAAAAAAAAAAAAGAUGUAAUUUCUGACAAUAACUACUUAAAGGGGAGAGGAGGAAUAUAAGUGCAGAGUUUGAUAUACAGGCAUACCUCAGAGAUAUUGCAGGUUUGGUUCCAGGCCACCACAAUAAAGCAAAUAUCACAAUAAAGUGAGUCACACGAAUUUUUUGGUUUCCCAGUGCAUACAAAAGUUAUGUUUAGGGACAGCCUGGUCGUGUAGUCAUUAAGUUCACCGUGCUCCACUUCAGUGGCCAAGGGUUUGCUGGUUCUGGUCCUUGGCAGGGGCCUACACACCCCUCAUCAAGCCAUGCUGUGGUGGCAUCCCACAUAGAAGACGUAGAGGGACUUACAACUAGGAUAUACAACUAUGUACUGGGGCUUUGCGGAGAAAAAUAGAAGAUGAAGAUUGGCAACAGCUGUUAGAUCAGGGCCACUCUUCCUCACCAAAAGAGCAUAAAAAACAAUGUGAGAUAGUAAUACCUGUUGUUUAGAAAAAAAUGUUAUGUUUAUACUAUACUGUAGUCUAUUAAGCAUGCAAUAAGAUUAUGUCUAAAAAAACUAUGUACAUACCUUAACUUAAAAAUACUUUGCUAAAAAAUACUAACCAUCAUCUGAGCCUUCAGCAAGUUAUAAUCUUUCUGCUAGCAGAGAGUCUUGCCUCCACAUUGACGGCUGCUGACUCAUCAAGGUGGUGGUUGCUGAAGGUUGGGUGGCUGUGUCAAUUUCUUAAAAUAAGACAACAAUGAAACUUGCCGCAUCGAUUGACUCUUCCUUUCAUGAACGAUUUCUCUGCAGCAUGCGAUGCUGUUUGAUAGCAUUUUACCCACCACAGAACUUCUUUCAAAAUCCUCUCAAGCCCUGACACUGAUUUUUCAACUAAGUUUAUGUCAUGUUCUAAAUCCUUUGUUUUCAUUUCACCAACCUUCACAGCAUCUUGACCAGGAGUAGACUCCAUCUCAAGAAACCACUUUCUUUGCUCAUCCAUAAGGGGCAGCUCCUCAUGCAUUAAAGUUUUCUCAUGAGAUGGCAGCAGUUCAGUCACGUCUUCAGCUCCACGCCUACUUCUAGUUCUCUUGCCGUUUCCACCACAUCUGCAGUUACUUCCUCCGCUGACGUCCUGAACCCCUCACAGUCAUCCCUGAGGGCUGGAAUCAACUCCUUCCAAACUCCUGUUAAUGUUGAUAUUUUGACCUUUUCCCAUGAAUCACGAAUCUUCUUAAUGGCAUCUAGAAUAGUGGAUCCUUUCCAGAGGGUUUUCAAUUUACUUCGGCAGGUCUGUCAGAGGAAUGACAAUCUAUGGCAGCUAUAGCCUUCCAAAAUGUAUUUCUUAAAUGAUAAGACUUGAAAGUCAAAAUUACUCCUUGAUGCAUGGGCUGCAGAAUGGAUGUUGUGUUAGCAGGCAUGAAAACCACAUUAAUCUCAUUGUACAUUUUUCCAUCAGAGCUCUUGGGCGACCAGGUGCACUGUCAGCAAGCGGUGAUAUUUUGAAAGGAAUCUUUUCUCCUGAGCAGUAGCUCUCAACAGUGGGCUUAAAAUAUUCAGUAAACCAAUAUGCUGUCAUCCAAGCUUUGUUGUUGCAUUUAUAGAGCACAGGCAGAGUAGAGUUAGCCUAAUUCUUAAGGGCCCUAGGAUUUUCGCAAUGGUAAAUGAACGCUGGCUUCAACUUAAAGUCAUCAGCUGCAUUAGCCCCUAAUAAAAGAGUCAGCCUGUCCUUUGAAGCUUUGGAGCCAGGCACUGACUUCUCCUCUCUAGCUGUGAAAGUCUUAGAUGGCAUCUUCUUCCAACAUAAGGUUGUUUUGUCGGGUCCAGCCCCGGGGCCAAGUGGUUAAGUUCACGAGCUCCGCUUCAGUGGCCCAGAGCUUUGCCAGUUUGGAUCCUAGGCAUGGACAUGGCACCGCUCAUCAAGCCAUGCUGAGGCGGCGUCCCACAUAGCAGAGCCAGCGGGACCUACAACUAGAAUAUACAACUACGUACUGGGAGGCUUUGGGGAGAAGAAAAAGAAGAAGGAAAAAAGAAGAUUGGCAACAGAUGUUAGCUCAGGUGCUAAUCUUAAAAAAAAAAGGUUGUUUUGUCUACACUGAAAAUCUGUUGUUUAGUGUAGCCCCCUUCAUUAAUUAUCUCAACUAGAUCUUCUGGAGAACUUGCUGCAGCUUCUACAUCAGCACUUGCUGCUUCACCUUGGACUUUUACAUUGUGGAGACGGCUUCUUUCCUUGAACCUCAUGAACCAACCUCUGCUGCCUUCACACUUUUCUUCUGCAGCUUCCUCAGCUCUCUCAGCCUUCAUAGACUUGAAGAGGGUUAGGGCCUUGCUCUGGAUUAGGUUUUGGCUUAAGGGAAUGUUGUGGCUGGUUUGAUCUUCUAUCCAGACCGCUAAAACUUUCUCCAAAUCAGCAAUAAGGCUGUUUCACUUUCUUAUAAUUCGUGUGUGCACUGGAGCAGCACAUUUAACUUCCUUCAAGAACUUUCCCUUUGCAUUCACAACUUGGCUAACUGGUGGGCACAAGAGGCCUAGCUUUCAGCCUGUCUUGGCUUUCACCUUGCUUUCCUCACUCAGCUUGAUCACUUACGGCUUUUGAUGUACAGUGAGAGAUGUGCGACUCUUCCUUUCACUUGAACAUUUGGAGGCCAUCGUAGGGUUAUUAAUUGCCCUAAUUUCAUAUUGUUCUGUCUCAAGGAACAGGGAGGCCUGAGAAGAGGGAGAAAGACAGGGGAAGGGCUGGUUGGGGGAGCAGUCAGACCAUACGCAGUAUUUAUUGUUUGCCAUCUUAUAUGGGUGCGGUUUACGGCACCCCAAAACAAUGACAAUAGUAACACCAUAGAUCACUAAUCACAAAUCACCAUAACAAAUAGAGUAAUAAUGAAAAAGUUUGAAAUACUGUGAGAAUUGUCAAAAUGUGACACAGAGACAUGAAGUGAGCAAAUGCUAUGGGGAAAAUGGUGCUGACAGACUAGCUUGUUGCAGGGUUGUCACAAAUCUUCAAUUUGUGAAAAACUCAAUAUCUGCAAAGCACAGUAAAGCAAAGCACAGGUAUAUCUGUAUUACAGAAGCUAAGCUGAUGUUAAUUCCAACUAGAUGGUUACAAAUGUAAGACGUGAAUUGUAAUCCCCAGGGUAACCACUAAGGAAAUAACUAAAAAAUAUACAGAGAAGGAAUGAGAAGGAAUUAAAACAACAUACUAGAAAAAAAUCAAUUCAACACAAAAGAAGAUCGUAAUGGAGAAAUUGAGGAACAACAACAAAAAAGACAUGUAGAACACAAAUAAUAAAAUGGCCAAAGUAACUCCUUCCUUAGCAGUAAUUACUUAAAGUGCAAAUGAAUUAAACUUUGUGUGAUGGUUAAAUUUGUGUCGGUUUGGCUGGGGCAAGAUUCUCCAGCAGGCUGUAUAUGCUCUGAAUUAGCACCCAACAUAUGAUACUGUUUCUCCCAUAGCCAGGAUUCACAGGUCCAGGAAUCAAGGGGUGGAAAUAGGAGUGGUGCCACACACUAUCACUCCUAGGUCACUCCUAGUGACCCACUAGCAAAAUUUUUGUUUCCUGUCCCCGUGACCUUAUGCUAUGCUGGCCUAGAAAUCUUAGUUCCAAAGGGAGGAACGCUUCCAAAGGAGACACAAUAGUGAUUCCAUUAAACUAGAAGUUAAGACUGUCAUCUAGCCACCCUUGGGGGUCCUCAGGCUUCUGAAUCAACAGGAAAAGAAGGGAGUUAAUGUGCUGUCUGGGGUAACUGAUCAUGACAACCAGGUAUAAAUUGGACUGCUACUUCACAAUGGAGGUAAGGAAGAGUAUUCUGGAAUCCAGAAGAUCCCUUAGGGCAUCUCUUAGUACUACCAUGCUCUUUAAUUAAAGUCAAGGGAAAAUUACAGCAACCCAAUCCAGGAGGGACUACUAAUGGCCCAGACCCUUCAGGAAUAAAGGUUUGGGUCACCCUAUCAGGGCAGUUGCUCUUGGAAGCUAGAUGUCAUACUGUGAGGAAGUUCAAUCUUCUCUGUGAAAAGAUCCAUGUGAAAGGAGCUGAAAUCCAACACCAACUUGCCAGCCACGUGAACGAGCCAUCCUAGAAGUGAGCCUUCCAGCCCCAGUUGAGCCACCUAAGCCACCAGCACGUGGAGCAGAGAUAAGCAGUCCCCAUUGAGCCCUGCCCAAAUUGCAGACUUAUAAGCAAAAUAAAUGAUUGCUGUUAUUCUAAGCCACUAAGUUUGGGAGGGGUUUGUUACACAGCAAUAGUGAGUAGAAUGGUGCUGGCGGUAUAACUUUCUGAUUUGGAGACACAACAGCUACCACUGCUCCCCAAGGAAGCAUCUCUAAUAAGUACGCCAUUAUUAGUCUCUCCAUCUCUGUCACUCCUUUUGUUAGCUUUUACCCUAGGAUUUGGUCCUUCAAUAGCUCUUUAUUAUUUACACGUUCACCUUGCCUAUCGCCUGGUUCCUUUGCCUAGGAUGGAGGCCAGUCCAUGGCCACCAGGAACAAUGUUUAUUUAGGGCUCAUCUAGGGACCUGCCUUUGUUCUAGGUCCUGGCCACCCAAUUCCAUGCCCAUGAGGGAAACUACUAAUGUCUCUGGGUGGGAGGCUUUUCGCAAAAGAUUGUCCUGCUUAAAGAACACUCUACAUGUUGACUAGUAGACAGGCAGGACCUAACCACUAGCAUGCCCUCCACUGUGGCUCACAUUCAGAAAGAACCACUGACUUAGGUAGGGUUUCCCAGAAGCAGACCGUAAGACAAAGAUUUGUGUCCCAACAUUGGACUAAGGAAGAGCUCCCAGGAGAAAACCACAAGAGAACGGGGCAAGCAGGGCAAAAACUGGGAGGAUGGCAGUCAGGGGUACAAUUUCAGACUAAACCCCCAGAGGGUGACUUUCAGCUGCCUUCUACAGGGCAAUUCUGGAGUAGAAGUCCUCCUCAGAGCUGUCCAUUUGGCAGGCAAAGGAGGUGGGCUCUCACUAUCGGCUAGGCCAUCCUGGCCCAUGGUCUGCCCUGACCAUGGGGUCUUCUUUGACUGUUCCCUGUGACACACACAUAACAUCCCCAACUCUCCUCCUGUAGCUUCACGUGACUCUUUGUCUCUAUUCUCUUGAUCCACUAUCUUUGUUGGUUUUUAUUUGGGGGCUGACUGAGUUGAAGAGUCAAAAAUUCUGCUCUUUGUGUUGAUCACUUGGCAUUCUGGUUUGGAUUUAUGUAUGAUUUGAGUUUUUCUGUUCUGGUUGUAUUUCUAUUAAACCCCUGGUUAGUGUGGAAAAAAAAAGGUGAGGGGUCAGAUCCUGGGCUGGGAGGGGGAAUGUAAAUUCCCAGGCACACCAAAGCCUCAGGAGGGCUGGGAAGGAUGCACUGAAACAGCCCAACGGAUUCUAGGGCAUAAGGGUGGUGCGUCGUGAGUGCAAAUAUCCAUCAAGUAUACUCAGUGCCCCUGGAAUUUUGGAGAAGUCUGUGAAAUUCCAUGCUAGCCUGGAUUUUCCAGAUAUGUGGCCAAACACUGGUGCCCAACCAAUGGGGCACUGGUCUUGCCAUGUAGCCCCACUCAUCUUUCCCAGUCUUGGAAGAAAAUGAAAACCGUCUUUGGGUUGUGCCAAUUCAUCAACCCUUCUUGAAGCCCUUCUUGGGCUUGAAGAUGACUGACCCCUUAGACAUCAGCUAUCAUCCUCUCAGGGGCCUUAGAGACCCAAGGGCCUGCAGCUUGACCUGACCACUUGCUGAAAGUUGAUUUAUUCUAUCUGCCACUAAGGGACACAGGUUCAUUCAAUCCCUUUGGCCUUCCUUAUGAUACACAUGCAAAUAAUCACUAACGGAGAGAAAUCUUAGGAAAGGGAAAUAAACAUUAAUAAAGAAACCCAAUGGCGCCAGCCUCUCUUUCCUGGGAUGAGGAUGGGGAAAGAUGUCCAUUUCUCUUAGUCUGUUUUUCUUAAUAAUCCUCCCUGCUCUAUAAACUUCGUGCCUGCAUUUUUGAGUAGUACAUACUAUUGCAGGAGCUAAACUCUUAGGCUAAAAUAAUAAAGAUACCACAUUUUUCUCAAAUUGUUUGCCAGAGAGAAAAUUUGCCUAAAUUUAAUAUCAAAACAUAAGAAGUUUCCCGCUGAAAAGAAUGAGUCCUAAAAAGACAUCUAGACAUUGGAUAAGGAACUCGAAACACACUUCUAAAGAAAUAAUGCAAUCGGUUGUGGUAAGGUUCCAAGUUUAGCCCACAGAAACCUAUGAAACUAAUAAUAUAACAAUGCAUUUGAAGAGUAGGAAAUAAUCAUGGAAGGUAGUAACUAAAUCACAACACAACAGAACUGGGUAGGAAAUCAUUUAUGAACUUGAGCACUGCUGCUUCAGGAAGAGCGAGUCUAAUCAGAGGAUGCAGACUGAGGACUUCUGGGACUUCUGGAUCCUUUGAGGCGUGUUAAGAAAAUUCUUACAGAAAUCUGGAGAAUUGCUUUUCUUAAAACGUACUCAUUAAAUUUACCAUUUUUUUUUUUUUUUUGCUCGGAAGAUUUGCCCUGAGCUAACAUCUGCUACCAAUCCUUCCUUUUUUUCUAUGUGAGCCACCACCACAGCAUGGCCAUUGACAGAUGAGUGGUGUAUGUCCAUGCCUGGGAACUGAAUUUAACCGCUAGGCCAUGGUGGCUGGCUCUACUUUUUUUUAUUGAAGCAUACUUGACAUACAAUAUUAUACUAGUUUCACGUGCACAACAUACUGAUUCGACAUUUAUGUAUGUUAUAAAGUGAUGACCAUGAUAAGUCUAGUUACCAUCUGUCACCACACAAAGUAAUUACAGUAUUAUUGACUAUAUUCCCUUUGCUGUACAUUACAUCCCCAUGACGUAUUUAUUUUAUAACUGGAAGUUUGUGCCUCUUAAUCUCCUUCACCUGUUUUGCCCAUCACCCACCUUCUUCCCUCUGGCAACCACCAGGAGGUUCUUUGUAUUUAUGAGUUUCUGUUUUGUCUUGUUUAUGUCUUUUAUUUUUUAGAUCCCACAUAUAAGUGCAACCAUAUGGUAUUGGUCUUUCUCUGUCUGACUUAUUUCACUUAGCAUAAUACCCUCUAGGUCCAUCCAUGUUGUUUCAAAUGGCAAGAUUUCGUUAUUUUUCAUGGCGGAGUAAUAUUCCAUCGUGUAUAUGUACCACAUCUUCUUUAUCCAGUCAUCUAUCCAUGGACACCUUGCUUGCUUCCAUAUCUUGGCUAUUGUAAAUAAUGCUCUGAAGAAUGAGGAAAGGCUCAAGGCAGAGCGAUGUUGCCCCUGAAACAGAACACGCUGAUGAGGGCUUUCAUUUUAGAGAUCAGGGCUUGGUAGAGAGGACAGACUGGGAGCUGGAGUGAAAAGAUCCUAACUCUGGACCCCACCUCUGCCACUUCCCACCUCAUGAUAGGGGACCAAAAACAUCCCUCCGGAUGUGUCUCAGCCUUGUAGUCACAGAAUGGGGAUGCAGCAAAUACUUCAGAAUAGUUGAAGCAGAGAGAACAAGCAGGCAUCACAAGACUUUAAAACAUGUGCCCGUGUGUCUUAACUGCUCCUCCUCUUGGUCCGGGCAGCAUCCACUCCCUGCCUUCAGGGCCAGGUUGUUCUAGCCGAGAUGCAAAGAGAAACCAGCCAGUGUCUUUGGAGAGGAUUGGAAGGCCAAGUCCUGGCAUAAAAGUGGGUUUGGAGGAAGACUUGCUCGAGCAUCCCUGUUCCUACUUCCACACCUGCACCUCGGAGAGGGAGGUGUUCCCAGGGAAAGGCCAGCAUCUAGGCUGGGAAGAAAGCAACACAGCAGGACUGUGCAGAGUGCCUCUGAAGCCCACGCUGGCUCAGAGGGGCCCAGACAAGCUGCGAGGCCCAAGAACUUGCUCAUGCGCCUGUAAAGGAAGGCGGCCAAAGGCAAAGCUGUCACAGGGCUGAAAUGGGCCCAGAGGACCUGCAGCCUCCUGGGGGUUCAGGAGAGAGAAGCUGAGAUGACACACACACAAGUGGCUGGGAGAAGUCCCACAGGCCCCAAAACUUGUCAGGGUUAGGAUCCAAGGAGACUAGCUCUCAAGACCACCACUCUCCCACAAUCACCCCCUCCCCCUCAAUGUCUGUUAAGGUCCCCAGAUCUUAGAUGCAACUCCCUGGGGAAAGAAUAAAUUUGCCAACUCCCAAGCAUGCUAAGAAAACUGAGAUUGGCUGAAUUAUCUUGAAUUGAUUAAGUUUCUACUAUUGGAUGAAAUGUGAACCCUGAAUAGAAAUUGAGUCAUAGAAGGUAUUUCAUCUACAGUGGGGUUUGUGACUUGAGAAGUCCAUACCCAAUUGGAGAACCUAGCCAGUGCCAGGUAGAUAAUAAGAACUCAAAAACAAUAGCCAUUAUCACCCCAGAGCCCCAGUGUUAACUAAAUAUCAUUUGGAAGGACUGUCUUUCCUGAUCCCACUCUAAUUUCCCUUAAAACAAACAAGCCUUCCUUUUCCACAGCCUUUUUUAUUCUCCCUCACAAUUCCCCCUUCUCAAUGAAAAAAAAAAAUACAAAGCACAAAUCCCUGUGUAUUCCUAUCUCCUUCCUUUGGCCUCUGUCCAAGGCAACCCUAGGGGUUGAAGGGUAGGAGUUGUUUCAACCACUGUCACUUCCACAUUGUCACCCCACACCCCAUUUGGGACACUAUAGAAGCAGAGCCUACAUUUCCUACAAUGGAGUUGGUCCAUUGGGUCAACCACUGCUGGGAGCCCCCACACCAUUAACUCAGAGACAGAGAUCCCGUGCCAGGCUGGGCUCAUGGCCAGUUUUUGAAUGAGACCCUAAAGUCAUCCUCCCCCGCAGCCAUCAGAGGCCCAGGAGCUGUACUUCCUGUACCUCUGACACCUCCUACACUCAAAGGAGCACCCAGCAGCCCAGGGUUGAGGGGAGAAUGGGG